Molecule: ribosomal RNA, 199 nt
Filed under: uncultured bacterium
Lineage: Bacteria
Description: partial 16S ribosomal RNA
Rfam family: Bacterial small subunit ribosomal RNA
Source: RNAcentral
ACGCUCGACACCUACGGGAAGCAGCAGUGGGGAAUAUUGCACAAUGGGGGAAACCCUGAUGCAGCGACGCCGCGUGAGUGAAGAAGUAUUUCGGUAUGUAAAGCUCUAUCAGCAGGGAAGAAGAUGACGGUACCUGAGUAAGAAGCCCCGGCUAACUACGUGCAGCAGCCGGCGGUAAUCUGAGGCGGGCUGGCAAGGC